This is a non-coding RNA of Cricetulus griseus (Chinese hamster), 317 nucleotides long. The record is from RefSeq and is a predicted model, not a curated record. NCBI's taxonomy places the organism in Eukaryota, Metazoa, Chordata, Mammalia, Rodentia, Cricetidae.
AAGCAGAAGGACAGAAGGGGGAGUGGAAUGCUGACAUUCUCUGCGGGAGCCGAGCCGCUCGCCCUCUCUGCUAGAAUGCUGAGGCAGGAAGCGGGAAAUUUCCAGGCCUGCCUGGGCUACAGGGGUUUGCACGGGCAGACGGUGAUGGUCUCUACGAAUGGAAGAAAUUGCAAUUGCUCCAGGCAAGGGUUACUGAGAAUGCAGCUGCCUCCUGGCGGCCUAGCCUGUAGGCACUAGGCUACAUUUCACCAGGUGAAGGUCCUGAGUUCAAUUCCCAGCAACCACGUAGUGGCUCACAACCAUCCAUUAUGAGAUCU